RNAcentral lists this small nuclear RNA (204 nucleotides) under Erinaceus europaeus (western European hedgehog). Its description in RNAcentral is "7SK RNA". It matches the Rfam family "7SK RNA", at positions 1 to 192 of the family's 331-position model. From Rfam's summary of the family: 7SK was discovered as an abundant small nuclear RNA in the mid-70s but a possible function has only recently been suggested. Two independent studies have found that 7SK RNA binds the CDK9/cyclin T complex (known as elongation factor P-TEFb). Lineage: Eukaryota; Metazoa; Chordata; Mammalia; Eulipotyphla; Erinaceidae. The record is from Rfam by way of RNAcentral.
GGAUUUGAGGGUGAUCUGGCUGCAACUUUUGUCUCCCCAUUGAUUGCCAGGGUUGAUUUUGCUGAUCUGUCUGGCUAGGUGGGUGUUGUCGUUCCAUUCUUCUCCCACUGCUCCCACUGCAUCCCUCUUGAGGCUAGAGCUCUUGGUAUAAGAGGACAACCUUUCCCUAGAUAUGCAGGUGCAUCCAAGUUAUUGUCUGGGGAG